UGGGGAAUCUUGCACAAUGGGCGCAAGCCUGAUGCAGCAACGCCGCGUGAACGAUUAAGGUCUUCGGAUCGUAAAGUUCUGUUGCAGGGGAAGAUAAUGACGGUACCCUGUGAGGAAGCCCCGGCUAACUACGUGCCAGCAGCCGCGGUAAUACGUAGGGGGCUAGCGUUAUCCUGAUUUACUGGGCGUAAAGGGUGCGUAGGAGGUAGUUCAAGUCGGUGGUUAAAGGCUACGGCUCAACCGUAGGUAGCAUCAGAAACUGGAAGACUUGAGUGCAGGAGAGGAAAGUGGAAUUCCCAGUGUAGCGGUGAAAUGCGUAGAUAUUGGGAGCAACACCAGUGGCGACGGCGGCUUUCUGGACUGCAACUGAAACGGAGGCAUGAAAGAGUGGGUAGCAAACAGG
Molecule: ribosomal RNA, 403 nt
Filed under: Verrucomicrobiota bacterium
Lineage: Bacteria; Pseudomonadati; Verrucomicrobiota
Description: Verrucomicrobia bacterium partial 16S ribosomal RNA
Rfam family: Bacterial small subunit ribosomal RNA
Source: RNAcentral